ACCUUUGUGUGUGUUCUGGUCGUACAAAACACAGGAGCCAAGAAGGGCUCUUAAGCUCAAACCCUAUCAAGCUUAAAAUCAACAAAUUGAAGGGGUAAAUCCAACCCAAAUCGAAAUCCAAGCACGAAUUCGUGACCACCUCGAUGAAGGGAUCAUAAGUUUGACUCUUGACAAGCUAGAAGGAGACUUGGGCAAGGAACGGGUCAAACGGUUCGUGCAUGGGAAAAAGAGCAUAACCGGAUGCAAGGUAAGCGACGCUUAAAUCCUUUUUGUAGAAUAUGCAUUAUUUUGUAAAUUACUAAUGCGACUAGUGUAAUAUCCGAAUUAAGGGUUCCGGCGCUAUUAACAUGAGUCGGAAUAAACAAAAAUGAUAAAAACCAUGUAUUAUGGUAAAAAGAGGCGAAACGGUAAUCUAGUCAUGUAAUGACUAAUAACUAAGAAGUUUUCGUUAAGAUUAUUUUAAAUGCAACUAAUAACGAGAAAAUGAGUAAAAAUGGAAAUUUAGUCAAGUAUUGGCUAAAGUAAACUAGAGUUAAAAAGUGGCACCCGUGGCGUAAGCCGAAUGGGUGAAAACAUAAGAAAGGAGUUUAAGAGAAAAAAAAAAGGGUAUAGUAGCAAAAAUCCGAAAUGGGUCGGAUGAACAAAUUGGCAAUUAAUAACCAUGUUUUGCUACUUAUGAAAAUGCCUAGUCUUAUAGGCCAAACGGGUCGAAUGGUGUGAUAACACCAUUUGACAAUAUCGACUAAUAUGGUUGUCAAGUCUUAUGCUAACAGGACCGAUUAGCAAAUCGGAUAAUUUCGUCACUAUUGAUUGUGUGAUAAUGAAAACAAGGUAUAAAUCGGGUCUACUUGUUGAUCCGGGCCAGGUACGCAUAUUCAUGUUGUAGUUUAAAAUGCUAUUUUGGUCGAAUAAAUGGGAAAGAGAGUCUUUCGUAGUAAAAAAGAACAAAAUCGAUCAAAACGCCCUUGUUGGCUAAUUCGAACAAACAACCUUUAAAAGUUGUUUGGACACGAGUUCUAUGAUUAGGUAAAUACUUAGAAUAAGUAUAGAAGCUGAAAGAGGUAUUAUUUUUUAGUCAAAUGGCACUAUUAGAGUUUUGCCGUAAAAUAUGGAUUCUAGAAGUAAAAUUUGGGUUAUAUAAGAUCACCACAAGAAACUCACCUUAAUGCAGUCGAGGUGGGAUAUUAUAGGGUAAGAAAUGUGGUGAUGGAAUACUAGAAGCAAUCGAAAGCGUUUUAGGCUCGAAAGUGCUUAAAUACCCUUAACGGGUCAAAAUAAACAUUUGAGUAAAAACGGGUUCAAGAAUGUAUGUAAACCGGGAUUUUGAACCUCUUAUGAUAAAUAACAAUGAAUUUAUGGAAUUUAUAAGAAAUCGGAGUCAAAUAAAUAUGAUUGUUUGACAAAUACAAGAAUGGGUCAAAAUUGGGUAAAAGGGCGAUAAGCCGAAGAUUUAAAAGUCGGAAUUUUUGUUAAACCGGAUGUUGGAUUUUAACCUCUUAAGGUGAGGAAUCAAAUUACAAUCUCGUAGGAAGAAACGGUAGGUCAAACGGACAAGCGGUUUGAAAGAUACGAAAGUUUUCGUGUCAGAAAGCGGCAAAAUGGAAAGGAUGGAUGCAGGGGCCACCGUAACUUACGGUGCCACCGUAAGUUACGGUGGAGCCAAAUAUGCUACGGUAGGAUACCCCUGAUUUACGGUAGGGGAAAUGAACAUUCAGGGGCCACCGUAACUUACGGUGCCACCGUAAGUUACGGUGGAGGCCAGAAAUCAAUUGUUGUUUGUGGAUCAAGAUUUAAAUGUUGGAUUUUCUUGAUUUCCUUGUUAUAUUGGUUAUUUAACUAUCAAACUGACAUUUAAGUUAGUUUUGAUCACAGGUGAAUGUCGAGAGUCCUGGAUGAAGAUCAAGCAUCGAGCAAGAACCGAACACACGUUAAACAAAGCUUCCGCAACGUUGUUUUGUCGUUAUUCUAAACGGCAAAUUAAAUCACAUUAUGUAUAUCACUUAAAUUGUAAAAGUUUUGACAAACCCGUAUUUCCGAUGUAUAUGUAAUCAUUAAUUACACUAUCAUUUACGCAAAA
This is a long non-coding RNA of Helianthus annuus (common sunflower), 2077 nucleotides long. RefSeq lists it as uncharacterized. The record is from RefSeq and is a predicted model, not a curated record. Lineage: Eukaryota; Viridiplantae; Streptophyta; Magnoliopsida; Asterales; Asteraceae. The transcript is spliced from 2 exons.